AGGUGUUUGGCUUCAAUCAGUAUACACUAUACCACACAACAUGUAAAAAUUGCCAAGUGUUUAAUACAGUUUUGUUGUCAAUAAAUGUUUUUGGCUGCCUGCCUGCCCACCUACUUGCCAGAAACGCUACAGGAUCCGUCAUUGAUAACGAUCAUUUUUGGACUUAAAAAAUCUGUUGCUGUUAUUAUGACCUAAAUCCUUUCAUUCUGCAGUGAAUACCAUGUUUUUGAAGUUUUAUCUUUCAGCAUGAACUAUAGAUAAGAAGAAUGGGAGAGGCCAGCAAAAUAAAGAGGCUUAAUUUCAAUGGAUUCCACUCUCUUUCUCGCAGUAUAUCCAUGUCAGCCAUGGUGCCAGAAACUAAAGUAUCUUUCAGGUUGCUUUGCUUCUCUGCUGGACUUGAAGCAAAUAAUUGACACCAUCUCCAUUGGGACUCCAACUGAUCCAUCAUCAAAUCUUCCCUUUUCUUCCUGAGAGAACUCAGGCAGACAGACUUGCAUAGGAAUUCUGGCCUCAUCUCACCCUGUGACCAUGUGCAUGAUAGUUAACCUCUCAGGCUGCAUUUAUACAUCUGUGAAAUGGGGAUGAUAAGAUUCAUCAAUCAAGGAUCUGUAGAAGAAAUGCAACAAGAUGCAGAGCUGCCUAGCUAUUUACAACAUAGUAAAUAGUAAAUGUGAGCUGUUACCCCAUCUGAGGGACACAAAGAAUCCAGUUAAAAUUUGACUGCAUGAGCUCAGAGUGCAUAUUCAGCUUGGUGUUAUACAUCUUAAAAAAAAAAUCAGAAUGUUUGUCUCUAUUACAGAAAUCCUGAGAUUAAAAAAAAUACCAAUUUGUUCCAAGUUUUUCCUUUCCCAGGGGUUUUAACAGACUCACAGGUCCUAUUUUGAUAACCUACUACAUUUGUCUAGGCAUUCACUUUAAAAAGUAACAAAUAUAAUAGUUACUUUAGCCUCAGCUUUGUAGAUGUUUUACAUGGGUAUUAUUUUUCAGACAAUGAAUGAUAUCUGAUUAUUCUGGGAAAAUCAGAUUUGACUUGAGGUUUCCUCCUUGGCUUUUAUUUACAAAUCAAAACAAUGUACUGAAAAGCACGUUGAAAAGAAUUUUUCAAGCACAUUGUUGUGUUUCCAGAGGAAGAAGCUACAACCUCAAGUGAACUUCCUUGUUCUUAAUACAUAUUUUAGUUUUUUAAAAGUUUUUCUCUCCUACAAGUAGAUUUGCCUUUAUACUUUAACAUUCUUAUUGUUAAAAUUCAUUAGACAUGGAUUACAGCAGAAAACACUAUUCAACUAUUGUAACUAUGAAUCCUGUGAGUUUUCUGUCUACUGUAUCUCCUACUGUAUCUCCUAAACAGCAUGGAAGGGAAAUAGUCACAUGAUUAUUAGCACUCUAGAGUUUAUGGGGGUCAGUCACUCUUAGAAGACAGUAAAAGGGAGGAAGCAAAAUAUAUGACUGUCAACUAUGAUGUUUCUGGCUGAUGAAUAUAAAUAUUCUGGUUUUCUUGCAGACUGUAAGUUUCCUAUCUUAAAUUUCAAUGCAGAAAAACAUUGAA
This is a long non-coding RNA of Canis lupus familiaris (dog), 1546 nucleotides long. RefSeq lists it as uncharacterized. The record is from RefSeq and is a predicted model, not a curated record. The transcript is spliced from 3 exons. Lineage: Eukaryota; Metazoa; Chordata; Mammalia; Carnivora; Canidae.